Molecule: microRNA precursor, 92 nt
Filed under: Canis lupus familiaris (dog)
Lineage: Eukaryota; Metazoa; Chordata; Mammalia; Carnivora; Canidae
Description: mir-8799 microRNA precursor family
Rfam family: mir-8799 microRNA precursor family
Source: Rfam by way of RNAcentral
GGGGAGGAGUGCAGGAUCUUGGGCUGUGUCCCCGGCGCCCUGUGCUCCCGGGCAGCACUGUUGGAAUCGCACUCUGGGUGGCACAGCUCCCU